CAGACAUUUCUCCCUACAAUAAGAAUGUUACAGACUCUGUUAUGCUGCAUCUCACUGUGGAUUCCAUAUGCUCAAUCACAGACACCGGUGCUGACACCUCAGGUUGGGUCAGUUAGUCCUGGGCAAAGUUUUACAUUUAACUGCAAUGUAGGAGUUAAGGAUGGUGGUUGGAUGGCUUUUAUUAAAAAAUUACCUGGGGAGCCUCCUAAAAAUAUUUUUAGCAACCAUCACUCAUUAUCAACCCCAAGCUACGGACCUGGGAUGUCAUCAGCUCACUUCACCGGCACAAUAAACAGCGCUGGAACUGAAUAUCAGCUGAUUAUUAAAGAUACACAGAUUGCAGACACAUCUGUCUAUUACUGUGUAAACUGGUAUGCCAGCAUUAAUGCAUAUCACAGUAAUACAGAGCCUGACAAAAAGUCAAUGAACGUAAAACAGGAAGCAGAAUUAAAAAAAAAAAAUCUCAAGAGCUAUUAG
This is a non-coding RNA of Bombina bombina (fire-bellied toad), 477 nucleotides long. NCBI's taxonomy places the organism in Eukaryota, Metazoa, Chordata, Amphibia, Anura, Bombinatoridae. The record is from the annotation of a RefSeq genome assembly.